UUUUCCUGAAGAACUGGAGCACGGCAAUGCCUCCAUAAGAAUUGAAAACACUAAGGUGGCUGACAGCGGAAAAUAUACCUGUGAAUUUCCACGUAUCCAGCCAGAAAAAAUAUUCCACAUUGAGCUUAUUGUUGAGCCCAUAUUAAAGGACAGAACAGAUGAAAAAAUCCCAGGGGUAGCUCCAAAGCCAAUAGUCAGACAGCUUGAUGAAAAUGGCCUUCUCCAGUGUGAUGUUGAUGGUGCUUUCCCGAAACCCACAGUAGAGUGGUGGGACAGUGCUAACCAAAGACUUCCAUCUGAGGAGCAAGUGGCUGCACCAAAAGGAAAUCGCUUCCACAUCACC
Oreochromis niloticus (Nile tilapia) is the source of this 343-nucleotide long non-coding RNA. RefSeq lists it as uncharacterized. Lineage: Eukaryota; Metazoa; Chordata; Actinopteri; Cichliformes; Cichlidae. The transcript is spliced from 3 exons. The record is from RefSeq and is a predicted model, not a curated record.